CCGUGCCGCAGCAGUGACCCAGGCCCCUGCAGUGACAACACUGGAUUCUUACGCUGCUGCGCCACAAGAGAACUCCUUUAUGCUCCCUUUUCUUGUUAAAAAGGACAGUAAUAGGUAAGACGCAGAUUUGCCAUGAGGAGGACAUGAAUACUGCACAGGAAAACACUUUGCGGGAAUGUUACUUAUUCAAUUUAUUGAGAACCUUAGCUUUUUGUGUCUGUUUUAUUCCACAACCCGCCUGAAAGUUCUUUUGUGUUCUCGGGUUUUUAUUUAGGAGUAGCUGACACUGUCCCACCAAACUGCAGGAGAAGCCUGCGUGUGUGUUUGUGUCUCUCUGUGGCUCUGAUCUUCCCCACAGGCCGUCCGGUCCAGAGCCCCCCUGAUGUCAGCCGCAGGGCGCAGGAGCCAGGAGCCGAGGAGGUCCUGCGCCUUGACCACACGAGCGUGGCCCUUCCUCCAGACCCCCGCUCCGGACGCGCCCACCUAGCGUCUCCCAGGAACCAUGCGGCAGCUCAAGGGGAAGCCCAAGAAGGAGACGUCCAAGGACAAGAAGGAGCGGAAGCAGGCCAUGCAGGAGGCCCGGCAGCAGAUCACCACCGUGGUGCUGCCCACGCUGGCCGUGGUCGUGGUCCUGAUCGUGGUGUUUGUGUACGUGGCCACGCGCCCCACCAUCACCGAGUGAGGGCCCGCCCCGAGGGAGGAGGCUCGGGAGGGGAGAGCAGAAGAAGGGCCUUCAUCCGCUGCGAUUUUCCUGAUGCCGAGCUCUGAGCAGGAGCCCCCGUCUGCUCUGGUCUGUGACUUGAUUAAAGGUUCUCCACUUUUCUUGGGAGGGAAUAGGAAACGUUUUAUCAGUGAACGUGCCAUACACUUUAUGGUCCACUUCAUGUGCCUUUCAGACUUCAAAGCCGUGUGUGUGUGUGUGUGUGUGUGUGUGUGUGUGUGUGUGUGUGUGUUUCUCGCCUGCAAUCGAUGUGUAGCCCCACCUGGUGAGAGGAGGCGUCUCUGGGUCACGGAUCAGUUGGAAUCAGUGCUCACCCCAUCCCCGUUGUUUUGAACAUGACUUUCCUACACGUGUUCACAAUUUCCAAAGGGACUGUGUUUCUUCUCUGUGCUUCAUGUGAUUUGAAAUAUGUCGACUCAAAAGUGAAAUAUUUAUUUUUUGAAUAAAGGAGAUGAUAGCC
RNAcentral lists this long non-coding RNA (1181 nucleotides) under Sus scrofa (pig). Its description in RNAcentral is "lncRNA (ENSSSCG00005032408.1)". Lineage: Eukaryota; Metazoa; Chordata; Mammalia; Artiodactyla; Suidae. The record is from RNAcentral.